RNAcentral lists this ribosomal RNA (325 nucleotides) under uncultured eukaryote. RNAcentral's name for it is "partial 18S ribosomal RNA". It matches the Rfam family "Eukaryotic small subunit ribosomal RNA", at positions 1470 to 1796 of the family's 1831-position model. The record is from RNAcentral.
CCCUUAGAUGUUCUGGGCUGCACGCGUGCUACACUGAUGCAUUCAGCAAGUAUACUUCCUUUGCCGAGAGGCCUGGGCAAUCUUGUAAACAUGCAUCGUGAUAGGGAUAGAUUUUUGCAAUUAUUAAUCUUUAACGAGGAAUUCCUAGUAAACGCAGAUCAUCAAUCUGCAUUGAUUACGUCCCUGCCCUUUGUACACACCGCCCGUCGCACCUACCGAUUGAAUGGUCCGGUGAAGCCUCGGGAUUAUGAACAAUGCCUUUGUUGGCAUUGUUUGUGAGAACUUGUCUAAACCUUAUCAUUUAGAGGAAGGUGAAGUCGUANCA